RNAcentral lists this ribosomal RNA (433 nucleotides) under uncultured bacterium. Its description in RNAcentral is "partial 16S ribosomal RNA". It matches the Rfam family "Bacterial small subunit ribosomal RNA", at positions 29 to 507 of the family's 1533-position model. The record is from RNAcentral.
AACGAACGCUGGCGGCAUGCCUAACACAUGCAAGUCGAACGAGACCUUCGGGUCUAGUGGCGCACGGGUGCGUAACGCGUGGGAACCUGCCCUUAGGUUCGGAAUAACUCCCCGAAAGGGGUGCUAAUACCGGAUAAUGUCUUCGGACCAAAGAUUUAUCGCCUUUGGAUGGGCCCGCGUUGGAUUAGCUAGUUGGUAGGGUAAAAGCCUACCAAGGCGACGAUCCAGAGCUGGUCUGAGAGGAUGAUCAGCCACACUGGGACUGAGACACGGCCCAGACUCGUACGGGAGGCAGCAGUGGGGAAUAUUGGACAAGGGGCGAAAGCCUGAUCCAGCAAUGCCGCGGGAGUGAUGAAGGCCUUAGGGUUGUAAAGCUCUUUUACCCGGGAUGAUAAUGACAGUACCGGGAGAAUAAGCUCCGGCUAACUACGUG